AAAAAAAAAAAAAAGGGAAGCCAUUUUUAAGCCCCAGUAUGUUUGGCAGCAAACCCCAUAUUCUGAGCUAGGGCCAUGGCCCUGGGUCUGUCAAGGAGGGUAAAGUAGCCUGAGGCCAUCAGCUGAAUGAAUAAGCACUGGCUCCUGCCAGCUGAGGGGAACUGGUGCCACAGGAAAAGGAUGUGACGAAGACCAGGAGGGAAAGUGAAACCCUUCCGUCCUGGCUUCAGUGAGGAACAAGCAUGCCUGUGCCAGACGAACCCUUCCUUCCUCUUGGGUGACUCUGGAGGGCCCAGGCCCAUUGCUUCCUUCCUGCUUGGUUAUUUCAGGAAAGAGACAUGGACGGUCACAAAGGUGAAUUCACUUGCUCAAGAUCGAACACACACAAAAUGGAGGUGGUUCAAACCCAGGUGUGUCUGACUGCAGAGCCUGUGUUCUUCCCAGUAGAGAUGUGGAUGCAGCACAAAUGGUAGAAAGGACCUGAGACUUAGUCAGAAGACCUCAGUUCACCCAAGGUAUCUGCUAUGCCCAAGGCCUCUGCUCAGUGCUGAGGAAACAAGCAUGGACAAGAUGUGGCCUCCACCCUGAGGAGCUCCUAAAUCUAGGACAGAGUAAAUCUGUUAGAAAUGUCUUCUCUGCACAUAAUUUAAGCUCUACCAACUGUUAACUUCUUUUCAUUUAUCCAAGUUUUGCCAGGUACUAUACCAAUAAAAAAAGACUCAGUCCCUCUUC
Molecule: long non-coding RNA, 732 nt
Organism: Pan troglodytes (chimpanzee)
Lineage: Eukaryota; Metazoa; Chordata; Mammalia; Primates; Hominidae
Exons: 3
Source: RefSeq, a predicted model, not a curated record